RNAcentral lists this ribosomal RNA (531 nucleotides) under Triticum aestivum (bread wheat). Its description in RNAcentral is "partial small subunit ribosomal RNA". Lineage: Eukaryota; Viridiplantae; Streptophyta; Magnoliopsida; Poales; Poaceae. The record is from RNAcentral.
AUGGAGCGCAUCGCCACCAGGGCGGAAGAGGCGGCGGGAGCCGCGGCCGUUGGUGAAUUCGGGUUCACCGUGGAGGAAGCGGACGCGGCGUUGGCGAUGAGCCUUGCCGAACGGGAGCAGCCCGAAGAGGAAGAAGAGCUCGCCGCGCCCGACGCCGAGUCGAACGAGCCCGCCGAGGGUGCGAGCGGCCCGCCAUCUCCGAGGAGCUUGCCGCAAGCAGGGCCCUCAGCGCAGCCCCCAGCGCAGCCAAGAAGGCGCCUCCGCAGGGUCGGCGACGUAGCAGGGCGGCAAGUGGGCCAACAGCCGCAGCGUCGCGCGACGCACUCUAUCGCGGCAAGUACGGUUGCCGCGGGAGCGCCUCCCGCCGCAGCGACAACUAAAGCGGGGCCGUCUCGGGCUGGCGCCGCAGCCCCCGCCAAGCGGUCAAGGGAUCCCACCCCUCCACCUCGUCGCGCUGGAAGUGGGCCGAACUUCGACCUCUCCGCGCUCAGCUCCGAAGAGGAGGAAGAAGAAGAAGAGACUCUGGCCUAG